GAUGAAGAACGUAGCGAAAUGCGAUAAGUAAUGUGAAUUGCAGAAUUCAGUGAGUCAUCGAAUCUUUGAACGCACAUUGCGCCCGCCAGUAUUCUGGCGGGCAUGCCUGUUCGAGCGUCAUUACAACCCUCAGGCCCCCGGGCCUGGCGUUGGGGAUCGGCGGAAGCCCCCUGCGGGCACAACGCCGUCCCCCAAAUACAGUGGCGGUCCCGCCGCAGCUUCCAUUGCGUAGUAGCUAACACCUCGCAACUGGAGAGCGGCGCGGCCACGCCGUAAAACACCCAACUUCUGAAUGUUGACCUCGAAUCAGGUAGGAAUACCCGCUGAACUUAAGAAUAUCAAUAAGCGGAGGA
RNAcentral lists this unclassified non-coding RNA (353 nucleotides) under soil metagenome. RNAcentral describes it as "partial contains 5.8S ribosomal RNA, internal transcribed spacer 2, and large subunit ribosomal RNA". The stretch from base 1 to 120 matches the Rfam family "5.8S ribosomal RNA", at positions 35 to 154 of the family's 154-position model. The record is from RNAcentral.